AGUGAACGCUGGCGGUAGGCCUAACACAUGCAAGUCGAACGGAAGCACAGUAAGAGCUUGCUCUUACGGGUGGCGAGUGGCGGACGGGUGAGGAAUACAUCGGACUCUACUUUUUCGUGGGGGUUAAGGAAGGGAAAGUUAAGCUAAUACCGGAUACGACGUAGGGUGGAAAGGGGGGGAAAUUCGGACCUGGCGGGGUUGAAUGCGCGGAUGUCGAGUUAGUUGGUGGGGGGGGUAAAGACCAAGCAAGGCGAGGAUACGUAGCUGGUCUGGGAGACGGAUCAGCGACACUGGAGCUGAGACACGGUCCAUACUCCUACGGUAGGCACCAGUGUGGAAUAUUGGACAAUGGGCGCAAGCCUUAUCCAGCCAUACCGCGUGUGUGAAGAAGGCCUUCGGUUUGUAAAGCCCGUUUUUUGGUAAAGAACAGCAUCAGGUUAAUACCCCGCUUUUCUGACGGUACCCAAAGAAUAAGCACCGGCUAACUUCGUG
This 492-nucleotide ribosomal RNA is filed under the name uncultured bacterium. Its description in RNAcentral is "partial 16S ribosomal RNA". It matches the Rfam family "Bacterial small subunit ribosomal RNA", at positions 29 to 507 of the family's 1533-position model. The record is from RNAcentral.